AUUGAACGCUGGCGGCAGGCUUAACACAUGCAAGUCGAGCGGGGUGAUGGUGCUUGCACUAUCACUUAGCGGCGGACGGGUGAGUAAUGCUUAGGAAUCUGCCUAUUAGUGGGGGACAACAUCUCGAAAGGGAUGCUAAUACCGCAUACGUCCUACGGGAGAAAGCAGGGGAUCACUUGUUCCUCUGCGCUAAUAGAUGAGCCUAAGUCGGAUUGGCGAGUUGGUGGGGUAAAGGCCUACAAAGGCGACGAGCUGUAGCGGGUCUGAGAGGAUGAUCCGACACACUGGGACUGGGACACGGCCCAGACUCCUACGGGAGGCAGCAGUGGGGAAUAUUGGACAAUGGGGGGAACCCUGAUCCAGCCAUGCCGCGUGUGUGAAGAAGGCCUUAUGGUUGUAAAGCACUUUAAGCGAGGAGGAGGCUCUUUUGGUUAAUACCCAAGAUGAGUGGACGUUACUCGCAGAAUAAGCACCGGCUAACUCUGUGCCAGCCGCCGCCGUAA
RNAcentral lists this ribosomal RNA (503 nucleotides) under uncultured bacterium. RNAcentral describes it as "partial 16S ribosomal RNA". It matches the Rfam family "Bacterial small subunit ribosomal RNA", at positions 30 to 523 of the family's 1533-position model. The record is from RNAcentral.